RNAcentral lists this ribosomal RNA (656 nucleotides) under uncultured delta proteobacterium. RNAcentral's name for it is "bacterial SSU rRNA". It matches the Rfam family "Bacterial small subunit ribosomal RNA", at positions 28 to 657 of the family's 1533-position model. Lineage: Bacteria; Deltaproteobacteria. The record is from RNAcentral.
AAUGAACGCUGGCGGCGUGCCUAACACAUGCAAGUCGAACGAGAAAUUUCCCGCUUGCGGGAGAAAGUAAAGUGGCGAACGGGUGAGUAACGCGUGGGUAACCUGCCCCUGAAUCUGGAAUAACUUCGCGAAAGCGAGGCUAAUACCGGAUAUUGUCCCAGGGACCGUGGUCCUUGUGAUGAAAGGUGACCUCUUCAAGAAAGUUGUCGUUCAGGGAGGGGCCCGCGUACCAUUAGCUAGUUGGUAGGGUAAUGGCCUACCAAGGCGAUGAUGGUUAGCUGGUCUGAGAGGAUGACCAGCCACACUGGCACUGAAACACGGGCCAGACUCCUACGGGAGGCAGCAGUGAGGAAUCUUGCGCAAUAGGGGAAACCCUGACGCAGCAACGCCGCGUGAGUGAAGAAGGCCUUCGGGUCGUAAAGCUCUGUCAAGUGGGAAAAAAGCUUACUGGUAAAUAGCCAGAAAGCCUGAUGGUACCAUUAAAGGAAGCACCGGCUAACUCCGUGCCAGCAACCGCGGUAAUACGGAGGGUGCAAGCGUUGUUCGGAAUUACUGGGCGUAAAGGGCGUGUAGGCGGUGUGGUAAGUCAGAUGUGAAAGCCCUGGGCUUAACCCAGGAAGUGCAUUUGAAACUGCCACGCUUGAGUAUGGGAGAGG